RNAcentral lists this ribosomal RNA (355 nucleotides) under uncultured bacterium. RNAcentral describes it as "bacterial SSU rRNA". It matches the Rfam family "Bacterial small subunit ribosomal RNA", at positions 1 to 334 of the family's 1533-position model. The record is from RNAcentral.
ACACGUGAUUCAGAGUUUGAUCCUGGCUCAGGACGAACGCUGGCGGCGUGCUUAACACAUGCAAGUCGAACGGAGUACCCUUGAUUGAGGCUUCGGCCAAUUUCUUGGACUACUUAGUGGCGGACGGGUGAGUAACACGUGAGUAACCUGCCCUUGAGUGGGGAAUAACACACCGAAAGGUGUGCUAAUACCGCAUAACAUAACGGAAUCGCAUGUUUCUGUUAUCAAAGAUUUAUUGCUCAAGGAUGGGCUCGCGGCCGAUUAGGUAGUUGGUGAGGUAACGGCUCACCAAGCCGACGAUCGGUAGCCGGACUGAGAGGUUGAACGGCCACAUUGGGACUGAGACACGGCCCAG